AGAUAUGAUGACCAAGGUGGUAACAACAAUCAAGUUUAAUCAUUGUUUGAACUUGAUUAACAUUCUGAGAAUUUGAGCAGCUUCAGGUGUAUGGCGCUCGAGAGCGCAUUUGUAGGCACUACAAAAGAUAGCUUUAUCGAAUUUGGGGAGUUGAAGGAAGUGUGUGAAGAUGUGAUUAUCCUAAUCAAAUCUUAAAGGUGGAGAUUGUUAACAUUAAUGGAAGACAAUUAAUAAUGGUUGCCAUUAACAUUAAUGGGAGACAAUCAAUAAUGACAACCACCAACUUUGGAAAAGUGGCAAGGGAUAAUUUUUUUUUGGUCCUUGAGAUAAUGGGCUAUUUAUUGUUUGGUCCUUGAACCUCAACUAUAAAUAGGCCUUCUCAUUUCUCAUUUCAAUUCAUCCCAACCAAUCUUUCUCUCUUAGUUUUCUCUCUUCUCCCAUUUGAGAAUUCUUAAGGAAUUCUAUUUGUUUGUAAUACUUUGGAGAUAGUAAAGUUAUCAUCUGGUGUUAGUGCCCGAGGACGUAGGUAUAAUUUACCGAACCUCGUUAAAUCUCUUGUGUUCUUUCUUGUCCUAUUUUUCUUUCAAUAUUUGAGGGUAUAAUAGUAGUAUUUAAUUGUGCUAUUAAAUUACUAUAGAAGGGAUAUUUUGUCUAAGGAAAGACUUGGUAUUUAAGAGAUCUAUGUGAUCCACCUCUCUUCCCUGGGAAUUGAACUUUGUGUGAUUUUUUAGUACAAUAAUUUACACGCUUCCGACCCUAUUGGAAC
This 766-nucleotide long non-coding RNA is filed under the name Gossypium barbadense (sea-island cotton). Its description in RNAcentral is "long non-coding RNA (GBAR_LNC008296)". The record is from RNAcentral. Lineage: Eukaryota; Viridiplantae; Streptophyta; Magnoliopsida; Malvales; Malvaceae.